GACGAACGCUGGCGGCGUGCUUUACACAUGCAAGUCGAACGGUGAAGGUGGAGCUUGCUCCGCCGGAUCAGUGGCGAACGGGUGAGUAACACGUGGGCAACCUGCCCCUAACUUUGGGAUAACUACUCGAAAGAGUAGCUAAUACCGGAUACGAAGUCUGUAGGCAUCUACGGAUUUGGAAAGUUGUUCGGUUAGGGAUGGGCCCGCGGCCUAUCAGCUUGUUGGUGAGGUAGUGGCUCACCAAGGCGACGACGGGGAGCCGGCCUGAGAGGGCGACCGGCCACACUGGGACUGAGACACGGCCCAGACUCCUACGGGAGGCAGGAGUGAGGAAUAUUGCGCAAUGGGCGAAAGCCUGACGCAGCAACGCCGCGUGCGGGAUGAAGGCCUUCGGGUUGUAAACCGCUUUCAGCAGGGAAGAAGCGAAAGUGACGGUACCUGCAGAAGAAGCACCGGCUAACUACGUGCCAGCAGCCGCGGUAA
RNAcentral lists this ribosomal RNA (483 nucleotides) under uncultured bacterium. RNAcentral's name for it is "partial 16S ribosomal RNA". It matches the Rfam family "Bacterial small subunit ribosomal RNA", at positions 28 to 523 of the family's 1533-position model. The record is from RNAcentral.